This 447-nucleotide unclassified non-coding RNA is filed under the name rhizosphere metagenome. Its description in RNAcentral is "partial ribosomal RNA internal transcribed spacer region". The record is from RNAcentral.
GGGAGCUCUCGCAGCGACUCUAAACAAGUGCCCUAGCCUGCGCCCCGAGUGGGACUGGCGACGCCAUCAAUCUGCGCUGGGAGGACCCCCUUGGGGCUCAACCAGAAGCUCUUAAAUGAGUUCACAGAUCAGACGAUGGCGGCCACUUGCGGGUGGUUCAGAUAUGACCGGCCCCGGCCCUUCAUCGGCCGGCGAAUCUGCGGAACCUGCGGAAGGAUCAUUACUGAGAGGGGUUUUCGGACCCCGGGGGCUUCGGCCCCCAUCUCUUCACCCUAUGUUUACGUACCUUCGUUGCUUUGGCGGGUCUUGGGGCUCGCCCCAUGCCGGCUACGGGCCUAGUGUCCCGGUCGGUCCGUGCCCGCCAGAGGCCUACAAAAUUCUAUUUAUCAGUGGCGUCCGAGCAAAAACACAAUAGUAAAAACUUUCAACAACGGAUCUCUUGGUUCU